RNAcentral lists this ribosomal RNA (418 nucleotides) under Convolutidae sp. 33_5aID. RNAcentral's name for it is "SSU rRNA". It matches the Rfam family "Eukaryotic small subunit ribosomal RNA", at positions 644 to 1073 of the family's 1831-position model. The record is from RNAcentral. Lineage: Eukaryota; Metazoa; Xenacoelomorpha; Acoela; Convolutidae.
GUGAUCGACCAUAAGGGAUAGUCUUUCAGAUUAUUCUGGUCACGGAUAGUCAUUUUACUUGUUAGACAAUUUGCACUUAAUUGUGUAGAUUGAUCGAAUCAAGUAACAGACCUUGAGAAAAUUUGAGUGCUCAAAGCAAGCUUUGGCAUUGAAUUUUAAAGCAUGGAAUUAAGGAGUAGGACCAGUUUUGGUCGUGAACCAUCUGGUAAUGAUUAAAAGGAACAGACGGGGGCAUUCGUAUUGCUCGGGGAGGGGUGAAAUCCGUAGAUCCCAGCAAGACGUCCUACUGCGAAAGCAUUUGCCAAGAAUGUUUUCAUUAAUCAAGAACGAAAGUUAGAGUAUUAAAGAGGAUUAGAUACCCUCGUAAUUCUAACCUUUAAACUAUACCAUCUAACUCUUAGUCAAUGUAAUUUUACUU